Molecule: ribosomal RNA, 214 nt
Filed under: uncultured soil bacterium
Lineage: Bacteria
Description: partial 16S ribosomal RNA
Rfam family: Bacterial small subunit ribosomal RNA
Source: RNAcentral
AGAACGAACGCUGGCGGCAUGCCUAAUACAUGCAAGUCGAACGAACACUUCGGUGUUAGUGGCGCACGGGUGCGUAACGCGUGGGAAUCUGCCCUUGGGUUCGGAAUAACAGUUGGAAACGACUGCUAAUACCGGAUGAUAUCGAAAGAUCAAAGAUUUAUCGCCCAGGGAUGAGCCCGCGUAGGAUUAGCUAGUUGGUGAAGGUAAAGGCUCA